RNAcentral lists this long non-coding RNA (311 nucleotides) under Brassica napus (rape). Its description in RNAcentral is "long non-coding RNA (BNAP_LNC006999)". Lineage: Eukaryota; Viridiplantae; Streptophyta; Magnoliopsida; Brassicales; Brassicaceae. The record is from RNAcentral.
GGUCAAUAGUGGUUCUUCUUUCAUCACUCUUGUCAAAUACAAGAAAAAGUUUAAGCCUUGUAACAAGAAAAAGUAGUUCAUAAGACAAAUUAUUGAAUUGUCAAGGAUUCAAAACGUACGUAUGGAUGUAAGCACGCAUGUCUUUGGUAAAAUCUCUUAAAAGCAUUUUGAUAUUGUUUUGGUAUGGUUAUACUAAGUAACAAAAUUUCAUAUUUAUUUUCUUUAGGUAAGUAAAGUUCUUAAAACGUUAUGGAAGUUCUUUAUAGAAGUUUUAUUUUUGGAUGAUACAUAUAUGCCUAAGUCCUUCUCCA